This is a long non-coding RNA of Ziziphus jujuba (common jujube), 774 nucleotides long. RefSeq lists it as uncharacterized. NCBI's taxonomy places the organism in Eukaryota, Viridiplantae, Streptophyta, Magnoliopsida, Rosales, Rhamnaceae. The record is from RefSeq and is a predicted model, not a curated record. The transcript is spliced from 2 exons.
CUCCAAUUCAUAUUUGGCCUUGCUGACUGAGCUAGCCGGCCGAACUUUCCUGCUUUUUUCGGCCGAGAAAUCGAUCACCGGAGGUGGCGCUGAAGACGAUAUCGGUUUUGGUGACAGUGCCAUAGUGACAGUCCCAUCAGGUGAAAGCCUGAAUGGAAAAAAAAGGUAAAAUUAGGUUGCCAAGGGAUGAAGAAAUUGUCCAGAAAAAGGAAAAAGAUAGAGUGGCCUAAGCCAAGCAUCACCUUUAUGUGUUAUGGCAAACAUAAUCUGGUACAAGCAAAGAUAUUAAUAAAUACAACACCAAAUCUUACAAACUCCAAAAUUAAAAUCUAAUUUCAAUUUUUGCAUCUUUGUUUUUAACCCAUUUUUGCACCACAUUUAUAAUUUAUUGUUCUGCUUGGUUUUUGCUGUUAGAGAGAAAGAGAUAGAAGGAAGAAGAAGACUAACCCCAAAAAAAGAAAAAAGAAAAAAAUGAUAAUAAUAAAAAAAUUAAAAAAGGAAGAAAAAAGAAAAUAAGACAGUGUUUGGCUGUUUGCAUAUAUGGAAAAUCGUGCAAACCCUCAAAUUUUAAUACUCUCUAAAAUAUUAGAGCAUAUGGGUACCACCCAUUUGGAAAAAAGUGUCUGCUCUUUUAUAUUUUAUUCUUUAUUUCUCCUCUUAUUUAUUUUUAUUUGGUAAUGGUAUCGAUACACAUUCUUUUUUUGCUAUUGGCUGGAAAACACCUCAGUUACUUAUAUUAUUAUAUAAAAAAAAAGCAUUACUUAUUAUUUCAAA